This 230-nucleotide ribosomal RNA is filed under the name uncultured bacterium. RNAcentral's name for it is "partial 16S ribosomal RNA". It matches the Rfam family "Bacterial small subunit ribosomal RNA", at positions 562 to 791 of the family's 1533-position model. The record is from RNAcentral.
AAAGGGUGCGUAGGCGGCCUGUUAAGUCAGGGGUGAAAGACGGUAGCUCAACUAUCGCAGUGCCCUUGAUACUGAUGGGCUUGAAUGGACUAGAGGUAGGCGGAAUGAGACAAGUAGCGGUGAAAUGCAUAGAUAUGUCUCAGAACACCGAUUGCGAAGGCAGCUUACUAUGGUCUUAUUGACGCUGAGGCACGAAAGCGUGGGGAUCAAACAGGAUUAGAUACCCUGGU